UGGCGGACGGGUGAGUAAUGUCUGGGAAACUGCCUGAUGGAGGGGGAUAACUACUGGAAACGGUAGCUAAUACCGCAUAACGUCGCAAGACCAAAGAGGGGGACCUUCGGGCCUCUUGCCAUCGGAUGUGCCCAGAUGGGAUUAGCUAGUAGGUGGGGUAACGGCUCACCUAGGCGACGGUCCCUAGCUGGUCUGAGAGGAUGACCAGCCACACUGGAACUGAGACACGGUCCAGACUCCUACGGGAGGCAGCAUG
This 256-nucleotide ribosomal RNA is filed under the name uncultured bacterium. Its description in RNAcentral is "partial 16S ribosomal RNA". It matches the Rfam family "Bacterial small subunit ribosomal RNA", at positions 96 to 353 of the family's 1533-position model. The record is from RNAcentral.